Molecule: ribosomal RNA, 487 nt
Filed under: uncultured bacterium
Lineage: Bacteria
Description: partial 16S ribosomal RNA
Rfam family: Bacterial small subunit ribosomal RNA
Source: RNAcentral
GACGAACGCUGGCGGCGUGCUUAACACAUGCAAGUCGAACGGGCUCUGUCUGGCUGUGUGCUGGGUGGGGUUAGUGGCGAACGGGUGAGUAAUACGUGAGUAACCUGCCCUCUUCUUUGGGAUAAGCCUUGGAAACGGGGUCUAAUACUGGAUAUUCCUGUCUGGUCGCAUGGCUGGGUGGGGAAAGUUUUUUUCGGUGGGGGAUGGGCUCGCGGCCUAUCAGCUUGUUGGUGGGGUGAUGGCCUACCAAGGCGUCGACGGGUAGCCGGCCUGAGAGGGUGACCGGCCACACUGGGACUGGGAUACGGCCCAGACUCCUACGGGAGGCAGCAGUGGGGGAUAGUGCACAAUGGGCGCAAGCCUGAUGCAGCGACGCCGCGUGGGGGAUGACGGCUUUCGGGUUGUAAACCUCUUUCGUCGGGGGACAAGGCUCUGCUUGGUGGUGGGGUUGAGGGUACCCGGUGAAGAAGCGCCGGCUAACUACGUG